RNAcentral lists this ribosomal RNA (497 nucleotides) under uncultured bacterium. Its description in RNAcentral is "partial 16S ribosomal RNA". It matches the Rfam family "Bacterial small subunit ribosomal RNA", at positions 28 to 507 of the family's 1533-position model. The record is from RNAcentral.
GAUGAACGCUGGCGGCGUGCCUAAUACAUGCAAGUCGAGCGAACGGACGAGAAGCUUGCUUCUCUGAUGUUAGCGGCGGACGGGUGAGUAAAACGUGGAUAACCUACCUAUAAGACUGGGAGAACGUCGGGAAACCGGAGCUAAUACCGGAUGAUAGUAUGAACAGCAUGGAUCAAAAGUGAAAGACGGUCUUGCUGUCACCUAUAGAUGGAACCACGCUGCAUUAGCGAUUUGGUAAGGUAAAGGCGUACCAAGGCAACGAUGCAGAGCCGACCUGAGGGGGUGAGCUGCCCCACUGGAACUGAGGCACGGUCCAGACUGCUACGGGAGGCAGCAGUAGGGAAUCUUCCGCAAUGGGCGAAAGCCUGACGGAGCAACGCCGCGUGAGUGAUGAAGGUCUUCGGAUCGUAAAACUCUGUUAUUAGGGAAGAACAUAUGUGUAAGUAACUGUGCACAUCUUGACGGUACCUAAUCAGAAAGCCACGGCUAACUACGUG